Molecule: ribosomal RNA, 641 nt
Filed under: Methylosinus sp. enrichment culture clone PPN M1.1
Lineage: Bacteria; Pseudomonadati; Pseudomonadota; Alphaproteobacteria; Hyphomicrobiales; Methylocystaceae
Description: bacterial SSU rRNA
Rfam family: Bacterial small subunit ribosomal RNA
Source: RNAcentral
UAAUGCUUUAACUCUGCCACUCGCACGGAGUAAUGCCUCCCCCGGUCGACGAGGGCGGACGGUGAGUAAUGCAUCGGAAUCUACCCUUUCGUGGGGGGAUAAUGUGGGGAAACUAACGCUAAUACCGCAUACGUCCUACGGGGGAAAGCGGGGGAUCCUAAGGCCUGGCGUGUUUUGGGUGGCCCCAUUUCGGAUUAGCUGGUUGGUGGGGUAAUGGCUCACCAAGGCGGUGAUCGAUAGCUGGUCCAAGAGAAGGAUCAGCCACCCCUGGGACUGAGACCCGGCCCAGCACUCUACGGGAGGCAGCAGUGGGGAAUAUUCGACAAUGGGCAGAAUCCUAAACCAACCAUUCCGCGUGUGUGAGGAAGGCUUUCGGGUUGUAAAGCACUUUGGAUUGGGAUGAAAUCACUCCUGUUAAUAGCCCGGUAGACUGACGGUACCUACAGAAGAAGCACCGGCUAACUUCGUGCCAGCAGCCGCGGUAAUACGGAGGGUGCAAGCGUUUCUCGGAAUUACUGGGCGUAAAGCGUGCGUAGGCGGUUUCUAAGUCUGAGGUGAAAUCCCUGGGCUCAACCUGGGAACUGCAUUGGAUACUGGGAAACUAGAGUUUAUAGAGUAAGAGUGGAAUCACCGGUAAGACU